This 467-nucleotide ribosomal RNA is filed under the name uncultured bacterium. RNAcentral describes it as "partial 16S ribosomal RNA". It matches the Rfam family "Bacterial small subunit ribosomal RNA", at positions 28 to 506 of the family's 1533-position model. The record is from RNAcentral.
GAUGAACGCUGGCGGCGUGCUUAACACAUGCAAGUCGAACGGUGAAGGCGGAGCUUGCUCUGCUGGAUCAGUGGCGAACGGGUGAGUAACACGUGAGCAAUCUGCCCCUGACUCUGGGAUAAGCGCUGGAAACGGCGUCUAAUACUGGAUACGAGCUGCGAAGGCAUCUUCAGCAGCUGGAAAGAACUUCGGUCAGGGAUGAGCUCGCGGCCUAUCAGCUUGUUGGUGAGGUAACGGCUCACCAAGGCGUCGACGGGUAGCCGGCCUGAGAGGGUGACCGGCCACACAGGGACUGAGACACGGCCCAGACUCCUACGGGAGGGAGCAGUGGGGAAUAUUGCACAAUGGGCGAAAGCCUGAUGCAGCAACGCCGCGUGAGGGACGACGGCCUUCGGGUUGUAAACCUCUUUUAGCAGGGAAGAAGCGAAAGUGACGGUACCUGCAGAAAAAGCGCCGGCCAACUACGU